AGAGGAUUUUGAUUUCUCAGUUGCAGGUUCAAUUCCUGU
RNAcentral lists this transfer RNA (39 nucleotides) under Phyllodytes luteolus (yellow heart-tongued frog). RNAcentral describes it as "partial tRNA-Gln". The record is from RNAcentral. Lineage: Eukaryota; Metazoa; Chordata; Amphibia; Anura; Hylidae.